RNAcentral lists this ribosomal RNA (261 nucleotides) under uncultured bacterium. Its description in RNAcentral is "partial 16S ribosomal RNA". The record is from RNAcentral.
GGACUACACGGGUAUCUAAUCCUGUUUGCUACCCAAACCUUCGUCCCUCAACGUCAGUUAUUAAAUAGAAGGUUGCUUUCGCUGUUAUUAGUCCUUAUAGUAUCAAAAAAUUUUAUCUCUACUCCAUAAAUACUCCCUUCUCUUAUAAAACUCUAGCAAUAUUGUACCCUAAUAUGGGCUAAUAAUGCAGUCUAGGUACCCUUUAAACCCAAUAAAGAUGAAUAACACUAGUCUUUUACGUAUUACCGCGGCUGCUGGCAC